This 254-nucleotide non-coding RNA is filed under the name Casuarina equisetifolia. Lineage: Eukaryota; Viridiplantae; Streptophyta; Magnoliopsida; Fagales; Casuarinaceae. The record is from RNAcentral.
GCCGGGGGGUGUGUGCGGUUGGGAUGUGCAAGCGAAUUUCUAAACCCUAAACCUUCCUCUCAAUUGGGGACAUUUGUUGGGGUCUUUCUCCGAUUGUUUCCCCCGUGUGGUCAAAAAAAGAAACGUCGACGCCCUUGCGCGUGCAUUCCUCGUGGUACGCCCGUCGGAGAGGCUUGAAGGUGGUGCUGCCUGCAACCUGGACUGGUGCCUCGCGGCUACUGUAUAUCCUCGCUUCUCCAGCACUCCCAUUUUUC